Molecule: transfer RNA, 75 nt
Filed under: Candidatus Nitrososphaera gargensis Ga9.2
Lineage: Archaea; Thermoproteati; Nitrososphaerota; Nitrososphaeria; Nitrososphaerales; Nitrososphaeraceae
Also listed under: 2 other names
Description: tRNA-Gly (TCC) (tRNA-Gly-TCC-1-1)
Rfam family: tRNA
About the family: Transfer RNA (tRNA) molecules are approximately 80 nucleotides in length. Their secondary structure includes four short double-helical elements and three loops (D, anti-codon, and T loops).
Source: RNAcentral
GCGGUCAUCGUCUAGUUUGGUCUAGGACACUGGCCUUCCAAGCCCGUAACCCGGGUUCAAAUCCCGGUGACCGCA